AUUGAACGCUGGCGGCAGGCUUAACACAUGCAAGUCGAGCGGAGAUGAGGUGCUUGCACCUUAUCUUAGCGGCGGACGGGUGAGUAAUGCUUAGGAAUCUGCCUAUUAGUGGGGGACAACAUUCCGAAAGGAAUGCUAAUACCGCAUACGUCCUACGGGGAGAAAAGACAGGGGGAUCUUCGGACCUUGCGCUAAUAGAUGAGCCUAAGUCGGAUUAGCUGGUUGGUGGGGUAAAGGCCUACCAAGGCGACGAUCUGUAGCGGGUCUGAGAGGAUGAUCCGCCACACUGGGACUGAGAAACGGCCCAGACUCCUACGGGAGGCAGCAGUGGGGAAUAUUGGACAAUGGGGGAACCCUGAUCCAGCCAUGCCGCGUGUGUGAAGAAGGCCUUAUGGUUGUAAAGCACUUUAAGCGAGGAGGAGGCUACUGAGACUAAUACUCUUGGAUAGUGGACGUUACUCGCAGAAUAAGCACCGGCUAACUCUGUG
This 488-nucleotide ribosomal RNA is filed under the name uncultured bacterium. RNAcentral's name for it is "bacterial SSU rRNA". It matches the Rfam family "Bacterial small subunit ribosomal RNA", at positions 30 to 507 of the family's 1533-position model. The record is from RNAcentral.